RNAcentral lists this ribosomal RNA (478 nucleotides) under uncultured bacterium. RNAcentral's name for it is "partial 16S ribosomal RNA". It matches the Rfam family "Bacterial small subunit ribosomal RNA", at positions 28 to 523 of the family's 1533-position model. The record is from RNAcentral.
GACGAACGCUGGCGGCGUGCUUAACACAUGCAAGUCGAACGGUAAGGCCCUUCGGGGUACACGAGUGGCGAACGGGUGAGUAACACGUGGGUGAUCUGCCCUGCACUUCGGGAUAAGCCUGGGAAACUGGGUCUAAUACCGGAUAGGACUCCGGACUGCAUGGUCUGGGGUGGAAAGCUUUUGCGGUGUGGGAUGGGCCCGCGGCCUAUCAGCUUGUUGGUGGGGUAAUGGCCUACCAAGGCGACGACGGGUAGCCGGCCUGAGAGGGUGCCCGGCCCCACGGGGACUGAGAUACGGCCCAGACUCCUACGGGAGGCAGCAGUGGGGAAUAUUGCACCAUGGGCGCAAGCCUGAUGCAGCGACGCCGCGUGAGGGAUGGCGGCCUUCGGGUUGUAAACCUCUUUCAGUAGGGACGAAGCGCAAGUGACGGUACCUACAGAAGAAGGACCGGCCAACUACGUGCCAGCCGCCGCCGUAA